This 478-nucleotide ribosomal RNA is filed under the name uncultured bacterium. Its description in RNAcentral is "partial 16S ribosomal RNA". It matches the Rfam family "Bacterial small subunit ribosomal RNA", at positions 28 to 507 of the family's 1533-position model. The record is from RNAcentral.
GAUGAACGCUGGCGGCGUGCUUAACACAUGCAAGUCGAACGAGAAGUGGAGACGGAAACCUUCGGGCGGAAGACUUUAUUUCGAGUGGCGGACGGGCGAGUAACGCGUGGGUAACCUGCCUCAUACAGGGGGAUAACAGUUGGAAACGACUGUUAAUACCGCAUAAGACCACAGCACCGCAUGGUGCGGGGGUAAAAACUCCGGUGGUAUGAGAUGGACCCGCGUUCGAUUAGCCAGUUGGCGGGGUAACGGCCCACCAAAGCGACGAUCGAUAGCCGAUCUGAGAGGAUGACCGGCCACAUUGGGACUGAGACACGGCCCAAACUCCUACGGGAGGCAGCAGUGGGGAAUAUUGCACAAUGGGGGAAACCCUGAUGCAGCGACGCCGCGUGAGUGAAGAAGUAUUUCGGUAUGUAAAGCUCUAUCAGCAGGGAAGAAAAUGACGGUACCUGAGUAAGAAGCCCCGGCUAACUACGUG